This 497-nucleotide ribosomal RNA is filed under the name uncultured bacterium. Its description in RNAcentral is "partial 16S ribosomal RNA". It matches the Rfam family "Bacterial small subunit ribosomal RNA", at positions 28 to 507 of the family's 1533-position model. The record is from RNAcentral.
GAUGAACGCUGGCGGCGUGCCUAAUACAUGCAAGUCGAGCGAACAGACGAGGAGCUUGCUCCUCUGACGUUAGCGGCGGACGGGUGAGUAACACGUGGAUAACCUACCUAUAAGACUGGGAUAACUUCGGGAAACCGGAGCUAAUACCGGAUAAUAUAUUGAACCGCAUGGUUCAAUAGUGAAAGACGGUUUUGCUGUCACUUAUAGAUGGAUCCGCGCCGCAUUAGCUAGUUGGUAAGGUAACGGCUUACCAAGGCGACGAUGCGUAGCCGACCAGAGAGGGUGAUCGGCCACACUGGAACUGAGACACGGUCCAGACUCCUACGGGAGGCAGCAGUAGGGAAUCUUCCGCAAUGGGCGAAAGCCUGACGGAACAACGCCGCGUGAGUGAUGAAGGUCUUCGGAUCGUAAAACUCUGUUAUUAGGGAAGAACAAAUGUGUAAGUAACUAUGCACGUCUUGACGGUACCUAAUCAGAAAGCCACGGCUAACUACGUG